This 460-nucleotide ribosomal RNA is filed under the name uncultured bacterium. Its description in RNAcentral is "partial 16S ribosomal RNA". It matches the Rfam family "Bacterial small subunit ribosomal RNA", at positions 338 to 795 of the family's 1533-position model. The record is from RNAcentral.
CCUACGGGUGGCAGCAGUGAGGAAUAUUGGUCAAUGGGCGCGAGCCUGAACCAGCCAAGUAGCGUGAAGGAUGACUGCCCUACGGGUUGUACACUUCUUUUAUAAAGGAAUAAAGUGAGGCACGUGUGCCUUUUUGUAUGUACUUUAUGAAUUAGGAUCGGCUCACUCCUUGCCAGCAGCCGCGGUAAUACGGAGGAUCCGAGCGUUAUCCGGAUUUCAUGGGUUUAAAGGGAGCGUAGAUGGGUUUUUAAGUCAGUUGUUAAAGUUUGCGGCUCAACCGUAAAAUUGCAAUUGAUACUGGCAGUCUUGAGUACAGUUGAGGUAGGCGGAAUGCGUGGUGUAGCGGUGAAAUGCUUAGAUAUCACGAAGAACUCCGAGUGCGAAGGCAGCUUACUAAACUGCCACUGACAUUGAUGCUCGAAAGUGUGGGUAUCAAACAGGAUUAGAUACCCCAGUAGUC